CAAUAGCGUAUAUUAAAGUUGUUGCAGUUAAAAAGCUCGUAGUUGGAUUUCUGGUCGGAAGCUCCUGUCCUCUGAUGAGCGUACAAGUGCGUCCUACCAUCCUUCUGUUAACCUUUAAGGCUUUCGCGGCUUUCUAGGGGCUCAGAUAUUUUACCUUGAGAAAAUUAGAGUGUUUCAGGCAGGCUAGCGCCGGAAUACAUUAGCAUGGAAUAAUGGAAUAGGACUUUUGCCUCUUCUGUUGGUCAUGAGACUCGAGUAAUGAUUAAUAGGGAUAGUUGGGGGCAUUAGUACUUAACUGUCAGAGGUGAAAUUCUCGGAUUUGUUAAAGACUAACUUAUGCGAAAGCAUUUGCCAAGGAUGUUUUCAUUAA
RNAcentral lists this ribosomal RNA (370 nucleotides) under uncultured eukaryote. RNAcentral's name for it is "partial 18S ribosomal RNA". It matches the Rfam family "Eukaryotic small subunit ribosomal RNA", at positions 592 to 976 of the family's 1831-position model. The record is from RNAcentral.